AACGAACGCUGGCGGCAUGCCUAACACAUGCAAGUCGAACGAGACCUUCGGGUCUAGUGGCGCACGGGUGCGUAACGCGUGGGAACCUGCCCUUAGGUUCGGAAUAACUCCCCGAAAGGGGUGCUAAUACCGGAUAAUGUCUUCGGACCAAAGAUUUAUCGCCUUUGGAUGGGCCCGCGUUGGAUUAGCUAGUUGGUAGGGUAAAAGCCUACCAAGGCGACGAUCCAUAGCUGGUCUGAGAGGAUGAUCAGCCACACUGGGACUGAGACACGGCCCAGACGAGGAGGGGACGCAGUAGUGGGGAGUAGAAGAGAGUGGGCAUACGACUGCACGAACAAGGGGGGGGGGGAGAGGAAGGUGGGAGUGUUUUACCGCUCUAGUACCCGUGAUAAAAAAAACAGUGCGGGGAGAAAAGCCCCCUGAUACCGCCGGGUCAGGAGAGGCGCUAAGAAAUAAAAGAACACUCGCUUCAUC
This 474-nucleotide ribosomal RNA is filed under the name uncultured bacterium. RNAcentral describes it as "partial 16S ribosomal RNA". The stretch from base 18 to 338 matches the Rfam family "Bacterial small subunit ribosomal RNA", at positions 45 to 394 of the family's 1533-position model. The record is from RNAcentral.